GACGAACGCUGGCGGCGUGCUUAACACAUGCAAGUCGAACGGAAAGGCCCUGCUUGCAGGGUGCUCGAGUGGCGAACGGGUGAGUAACACGUGGGUGAUCUGCCCCUUACUUCGGGAUAAGCCUGGGAAACUGGGUCUAAUACUGGAUAGGACCAUGCUGUAGGUGGUGUGGUGGAAAGAUUAGUUUCGGUAAGGGAUGAGCUCGCGGCCUAUCAGCUUGUUGGUGGGGUAAUGGCCUACCAAGGCGUCGACGGGUAGCCGGCCUGAGAGGGUGGACGGCCACAUUGGGACUGCGAUACGGCCCAGACUCCUACGGGAGGCAGCAGUGGGGAAUAUUGCGCAAUGGGCGCAAGCCUGAUGCAGCGACGCCGCGUGGGGGAUGACGGCCUUCGGGUUGUAAACUCCUUUCAGCCAUGACGAAGCCCUUGUGGUGACGGUAGUGGUAGAAGAAGCACCGGCUAACUACGUG
Molecule: ribosomal RNA, 469 nt
Filed under: uncultured bacterium
Lineage: Bacteria
Description: partial 16S ribosomal RNA
Rfam family: Bacterial small subunit ribosomal RNA
Source: RNAcentral